AAAAAAAGGGCUCUCGAAGGUGACCUGCGGAGGGAUCAUUA
Molecule: ribosomal RNA, 41 nt
Filed under: Dothideomycetes sp. 1 GS-2016
Lineage: Eukaryota; Fungi; Ascomycota; Dothideomycetes
Description: partial 18S ribosomal RNA
Source: RNAcentral